UACGAAGGGGGCUAGCGUUGCUCGGAAUCACUGGGCGUAAAGGCGCACGUAGGCGGCUUCUUAAGUCAGGGGUGAAAUCCUGGAGCUCAACUCCAGAACUGCCUUUGAUACUGAAGAUCUUGAGUUCGGGAGAGGUGAGUGGAACUGCGAGUGUAGAGGUGAAAUUCGUAGAUAUUCGCAAGAACACCAGUGGCGAAGGCGACUCACUGGACAUGUAUUGACGCUGAGGUGCGAAAGCGUGGGGAGCAAACAGG
Molecule: ribosomal RNA, 254 nt
Filed under: uncultured bacterium
Lineage: Bacteria
Description: partial 16S ribosomal RNA
Rfam family: Bacterial small subunit ribosomal RNA
Source: RNAcentral